Molecule: non-coding RNA, 29 nt
Filed under: Homo sapiens (human)
Lineage: Eukaryota; Metazoa; Chordata; Mammalia; Primates; Hominidae
Source: RNAcentral
UCAAAUAACUCAGUAAGGGUGGAAGGGAC